This 65-nucleotide transfer RNA is filed under the name Nierstraszella lineata. Its description in RNAcentral is "tRNA-Ile". The record is from RNAcentral. Lineage: Eukaryota; Metazoa; Mollusca; Polyplacophora; Lepidopleurida; Nierstraszellidae.
AGUAUUGUGCCGGAACAAACGGGCUAUAUUGAUGUUAUAGAUUAUAAGGAACCCCUUCAAUACUA